Molecule: ribosomal RNA, 367 nt
Filed under: uncultured bacterium
Lineage: Bacteria
Description: bacterial SSU rRNA
Rfam family: Bacterial small subunit ribosomal RNA
Source: RNAcentral
GUAGGGGGCGAGCGUUAUCCGGAUUCAUUGGUCGUAAAGCGCGCGUAGGCGGCCGGGCAGGCGGGGUGUCAAAUGGCGGGGCUCAACCCCGUCCCGCGCCCCGAACCGCCCGGCUCGGGUCCGGCAGGGGAGGGUGGAACGCCCGGUGUAGCGGUGGAAUGCGCAGAUAUCGGGCGGAACACCGGUGGCGAAGGCGGCCCUCUGGGCCGGCACCGACGCUGAGGCGCGAAAGCUGGGGGAGCGAACAGGAUUAGAUACCCUGGUAGUCCCAGCCGUAAACGAUGGACGCUAGGUGUGGGGGGACGAUCCCCCCGUGCCGCAGCCAACGCAUUAAGCGUCCCGCCUGGGGAGUACGGCCGCAAGGCUA